GUCUCCCUCCAAGUACUAACCGGGCCCGAUCUGAUCAUCCA
Molecule: ribosomal RNA, 41 nt
Filed under: Esox cisalpinus
Lineage: Eukaryota; Metazoa; Chordata; Actinopteri; Esociformes; Esocidae
Source: RNAcentral